CAGUCGAACGCCCCGCAAGGGGAGUGGCGGACGGGUGAGUAACGCGUGGGAAUUUUCCUCAAGGUACGGAACAACUCAGGGAAACUUGGGCUAAUACCGUAUGAUGCAGCGAUGCCAAAGAUUUAUCGCCUUGGGAUAAGCCCGCGUCAGAUUAGGUAGUUGGUGGGGUAACGGCCUACCAAGCCUGCGAUCUGUAGCUGGUCUGAGAGGACGAUCAGCCACAUUGGGACUGAGACACGGCCCAAACUCCUACGGGAGGCAGCAGUGGGGAAUCUUGCGCAAUGGGCGAAAGCCUGACGCAGCCAUGCCGCGUGAAUGAUGAAGGUCUUAGGAUUGUAAAGUUCUUUAGCCUGUGACGAUGAUGACGGUAACAGGAGAAUAAGCCCCGGCUAACUUCGUGCCAGCAGCCGCGGUAAUACGAAGGGGGCUAGCGUUGUUCGGAAUUACUGGGCGUAAAGCGCGCGUAGGCGGUUUUACAAGCCAGAGGUGAAAUGCCUGAGCUUAACUUGGGAAUUGCCUUUGGAACUGUAUGACUUCGAGGACGAGAGAGGUGAGUGGAAUUCCCAGUGUAGAGGUGAAAUUCGUAGAUAUUGGGAAGAACACCGGUGGCGAAGGCGGCUCACUGGCUCGUUUCUGACGCUGCAGCGCGAAAGCGUGGGGAUCAAACAGGAUUAGAUACCCUGGUAGUCCACGCUGUAAACGAUGAGUGCUAGGCGUCGGCACGCUUGCGUGUCGGUGCCGCAGCUAACGCGUGAAGCACUCCGCCUGGGGAGUACGGUCGCAAGAUUAAAACUCAAAGGAAUUGACGG
This 809-nucleotide ribosomal RNA is filed under the name uncultured bacterium. RNAcentral describes it as "bacterial SSU rRNA". It matches the Rfam family "Bacterial small subunit ribosomal RNA", at positions 59 to 916 of the family's 1533-position model. The record is from RNAcentral.